CAUUUUUCCUACAAACAAAGAUAAGCACAUGGACCUUUGGAGACUUGGUGGGGAUGGUAUGGAAGAGCUCUUUUCCGUGUGAGAUAUCCAUUUCUCUGGGUUGGUGAGUACUCCCAAAAUCACUGUGUGUACACAUGAAGAUUUGAACAUUUGGAGUGACUUGAAGUGGAACCACUAUCAGAAUUGAACCAUAAAGGAGUGAUCACUUUUGAAUGGAGUGUUUUUCUCCCACCUGAGUGGGGGGGUUUUUUUCUCACCUUUGUGUGUUUUUAUGGAGUGACACCUAACCUAAAGUGGUAAUUUCCUACGGAUCUGGGGUAACCACCAGUUGGCAACGGACAAUUAUUUGUUGUUGGAGUAAAUGAGUUUUGGGAUUUCCAGCAAGGGUUCCUGGUUUUGAACCUUUACCAUGGCAGUGCCACUACAUAACCGUUUCCAGGCUCUAGUUAGUUUAAAUGAUGAGGGGAUGGUAAGACAGGUGAACAAAUUGGCGGCCUUUAUUAAACCCUCCUCGCCUAACCAACAGACCCUGGCAAAGGCCCAUUCCAGUUAUGCGGC
This is a long non-coding RNA of Coregonus clupeaformis (lake whitefish), 558 nucleotides long. RefSeq lists it as uncharacterized. The transcript is spliced from 4 exons. NCBI's taxonomy places the organism in Eukaryota, Metazoa, Chordata, Actinopteri, Salmoniformes, Salmonidae. The record is from RefSeq and is a predicted model, not a curated record.